Bufo bufo (common toad) is the source of this 888-nucleotide long non-coding RNA. RefSeq lists it as uncharacterized. Lineage: Eukaryota; Metazoa; Chordata; Amphibia; Anura; Bufonidae. The record is from RefSeq and is a predicted model, not a curated record. The transcript is spliced from 3 exons.
CCAAUACUGCAGGAUAUUACACAGACACCACACAUGACUACAGAGACAAGAUGGAGGCUGGGUGAUGUGAUGGAGUACCAAUACUGCAGGAUAUUACACCGACACCGCACAUGACUACAGAGACAAGAUGGAGGCUGGGUGAUGUGAUGGAGUACCAAUACUGCAGGAUAUUACACCGACACCACACAUGACUACAGAGACAAGAUGGAGGCUGGGUGAUGUGAUGGAGUACCAAUACUGCAGGAUAUUACACCGACACCGCACAUGACUACAGAGACAUCCUGACUGCCAAGAUGGAGGCUGGGUGAUGUGAUGGAGUACCAAUACUGCAGGAUAUUACACCGACACCACACAUGACUACAGAGACAAGAUGGAGGCUGGGUGAUGUGAUGGAGUACCAAUACUGCAGGAUAUUACACCGACACCACACAUGACUACAGAGACAAGAUGGAGGCUGGGUGAUGUGAUGGAGUACCAAUACUGCAGGAUAUUACACCGACACCACACAUGACUACAGAGACAAGAUGGAGGCUGGGUGAUGUGAUGGAGUACCAAUACUGCAGGAUAUUACACCGACACCACACAUGACUACAGAGACAAGAUGGAGGCUGGGUGAUGUGAUGGAGUACCAAUACUGCAGGAUAUUACACCGACACCACACAUGACUACAGAGACAAGAUGGAGGCUGGGUGAUGUGAUGGAGUACCAAUACUGCAGGAUAUUACACCGACACCACACAUGACUACAGAGACAAGAUGGAGGCUGGGUGAUGUGAUGGAGUACCAAUACUGCAGGAUAUUACACCGACACCACACAUGACUACAGAGACAAGAUGGAGGCUGGGUGAUGUGAUGGAGUACCAAUACUGCAGGAUAUUACACCGACACC